UUUAUUAUGGUCAUCUAAAAACUUGUGCAAAGUUACACCAACUCAUUUUAACUCACUAUAACAGGUUUUUAAAAAAAAAAUCAAAAUAUAUUUUUGCUUAAUUAAAUAUUUAUCUUUAAUUAAUUUAGAAAAAACAUUAAUCCUUAAUCUUUUAUUCCUCUUCUCUCUUACACCAUAUCCAAAACCCAUUCUGAAAUCCAUUUUUCAUUCAUCAUCUUCAAACCCCCAUGCCACCCAGCCACCAUCAAUCCAAAACCUGCAAAACUCACAAGGUAAGAACAAGACAAUCGUGUGGGAACAUGGAAGAAGCGACGGCGGGUUGUGAGUUUUGGGAAGCGACGGCGUUUUGGUCGGUUGUGGUUGUGGGGUUUUGCUCCGUCUCCAUGGGAGCUCUCACUUUGCUUUGAGAGAGAAACCUCAACUGAAAACAAGUGGUGAUAGAUUUAUGGGUUUCUCGUUCUCCAACCGCAACUCCAACCUCAGAUCUGCAGUAAAAUCUUCUUCUUCUGCAACCACAAAUUUGCAAUCUGGGUUUCCUAAGUUGGGGUUUUGGUAGUUCUUGGGUUUCUAGGUUUGCUGGUUAAAAUGAUUUGUUGGGUUCUUCAUUUGGGUUUCUGGGUUUGCUUUUUCAAUUUUUGUUGCUGGUUCUGAUCCCCCCACUCAUUCUUUUUCUUUGAAGGAGCAUCCAUGGCUGCAUGUCAUUGCUUUGCUAGGUUUGAAGGGAUCCAUAGCUGCUGAACGAGAACAAGAUCUGGGAAUUCUGGGUUGGGAAUAUUGUGCAGGUUAUGGUUUCAUAUCUGGGGGUGGGUUUCUCAUGAGGUGGGAGAAGAUGAUGGGUUGAGGAAGGAGGAAGAUAAUUUAUUCACUAAUUAACCUAAUCCUUCAUUAAUUAAUUUACUAAUAUAUAUGUUUUUUUGAUUUUUUUUUAAAACCUGCUAAACCUACUAUUGCAGGUCAAAAUGGCAUGGUGUAACCUUACACAAGUUUUUAGAAGACCAUAAUAAACUCCUCCCCGCAUAUAUCCCAUGUUUAUAUUAUUUUUAACGGUGAUACACUUGUUUACACAGAUAAAGAAUAGUAUGAAACUAUGAAUUAUAUGCUAUAUUUUAUUUGCAGGAUAAAAGGUUGAGGACGAAAAAAUCAUCCACAGCAAUUUCACAGAUAAAUAUCAGCAGAGCAAUGGUUGCUAUCAAUGAAAGCCUGGUCAAGACAAUGCUAUGUGUGUCAGGAAAAAGAUAGAAAUCUGCAAGGGCCGGGUCAAGGGUCGGGUCUUGGAGCGGUUUUUCCGAUACCUAUGCAGGAUGUCUGAAAACGUAGGUACGGAGUAUCUUCUCUGCAGAUUGCAAAUCUGCUGCAAUCUUCCCCUCUUCCCCAUUUACCCCCCUUUUCUCAUCUUCUUUCUUUGUCAAAUGCGCAUGGCAGCUAUAAAAACCCAAACGGUGAUCAGCCAUUGGCACCGCUUGAGUCAUGAGUAAUCCCUCCGAUAGACUUCUCGAAACACCCAUCUUUUGUUAAGGUUUUGGUGUCAUGGCUUCGUUGUCUCGAAAUACCGAGAUUUGCCUCUAUUCUUCCCUCUCUGUUGUGCUUCCCUUUCAAUAGCCGCCGCCCCACUUCACCGGAGAACCGACAAACACCCCCUUCAACAACCGCAAGCAUCCCCGACGACACAACCACCGCAAAACCCAGUUUGCAAGAGGUGAUCCCCUACAGUGUCAAGGUGAAUGCUCCUAAUGGUGUUGAUGUUAAUGUCUCACCAAAGCAAGCUUGUGUUCAGUGCUAAGAACAAGACACAGGCUUUUGAGGUCACUCUCACUACAGUUGGGUAUGGUGGUUCUCAGAGUUUUGGGUCCAUUGAGUGGAGUGAUGGAAGUUACCGUGUGAAGAGCCUAAUUGCUGUGAGAUUUGGCAGUGGAUCCUCAUCAUCAUCCAUGUGAAUUGCACUCAAGAAUCAAGAUUGUUGCUGUGGAAACACGUCUUACACAGGUUAUGGGUUCAACGUCAGCCUCUUUGGAAUUUUAAUUUUAGCCUAUUGUACAAAGUACUACAAACUACAAAAUAUUUAUUAUGUAUGGUGGUAUUCUCAAUGAUGUUUCAUACAGUUGUACUCUAGAUUAAUCUGAAAUAGUUGUUGAAGGUCUUAUAAUAAUUUAUGGGGUUAAAAUAGAAUCUUGCAUAAAAUGUAUGCGGAUAAUUCGGGUGUUACAUAUUGAUCUCAUCUGAUAUGUUGGUGUAUCAUGUAAAACAAGAUGUAAGAUGUAUAUCAGUACAUCAUGGCACCUGAAUUUCAAAAAUAAAUGUACUCUAUUAUGAAGUUAUUUAUUUACAUUUGAAAAACUCAAUGUACAUGGAUAUUUAUAAUUUUCUAGCAUCACAACAGGA
Molecule: long non-coding RNA, 2379 nt
Organism: Lotus japonicus
Lineage: Eukaryota; Viridiplantae; Streptophyta; Magnoliopsida; Fabales; Fabaceae
Exons: 3
Source: RefSeq, a predicted model, not a curated record